AAUUCUCCAAGGCUCAGAAUCUCAGCAGGAGAUAUAGACUGCGUGGAGGUUUUUGUUCCCUUGGGAUAUAUCCUCCUAAUAUGAUAUACAUUGGAAGUGCUCUUGAGUCGGGCACUUUUGCUGUCUAAGGUGAAUUAUUGACUGAUUGUCUAAGCAGGAUCUCCGGGAAUCUGGCAGACAGUCACUUGCUUCUAAAAUCAUCAGAUCCUGCUUCAAUGGAACCCUGAAGUGCUGUUUGUUUGGGCUGUAAAGAACCUUGUGAGCUGGAGAAAUUCCAGAAAGGAGCCCUUGUAUCACCAUAUAAGUUUUGUUACUCUCCUUUUAAUAAAAGCAAGUUGGUUU
Dermochelys coriacea (leatherback sea turtle) is the source of this 342-nucleotide long non-coding RNA. RefSeq lists it as uncharacterized. The transcript is spliced from 2 exons. The record is from RefSeq and is a predicted model, not a curated record. NCBI's taxonomy places the organism in Eukaryota, Metazoa, Chordata, Testudines, Dermochelyidae.